GCCGGGGUCUCCUAGUGGUAUGGAGCAAACCCCGUCAGCUUGUGACCCGUGAGGGUCGCGUGGGUUCGAAUCCCACCCCCGGCGCCA
RNAcentral lists this transfer RNA (87 nucleotides) under Candidatus Bathyarchaeota archaeon. RNAcentral describes it as "tRNA-Thr". It matches the Rfam family "tRNA". From Rfam's summary of the family: Transfer RNA (tRNA) molecules are approximately 80 nucleotides in length. Lineage: Archaea; Thermoproteati; Candidatus Bathyarchaeota. The record is from RNAcentral.